CCCAGACUCCUACGGGAGGCAGCAGUGGGGAAUAUUGCACAAUGGGCGAAAGCCUGAUGCAGCAACGCCGCGUGAAGGAAGAAGGCCUUCGGGUCGUAAACUUCUGUCCUUGGGGAAGAAGAACUGACGGUACCCAAGGAGGAAGCCCCGGCUAACUACGUGCCAGCAGCCGCGGUAAUACGUAGGUGGCAAGCGUUAUCCGGAUUUAUUGGGUGUAAAGGGCGUGUAGGCGGGAAUGCAAGUCAGAUGUGAAAACUAUGGGCUCAACCCAUAGCCUGCAUUUGAAACUGUAUUUCUUGAGUGCUGGAGAGGCAAUCGGAAUUCCGUGUGUAGCGGUGAAAUGCGUAGAUAUACGGAGGAACACCAGUGGCGAAGGCGGAUUGCUGGACAGUAACUGACGCUGAGGCGCGAAAGCGUGGGGAGCAAACAGGAUUAGAUACCCUAGUA
This 447-nucleotide ribosomal RNA is filed under the name uncultured bacterium. Its description in RNAcentral is "bacterial SSU rRNA". It matches the Rfam family "Bacterial small subunit ribosomal RNA", at positions 330 to 792 of the family's 1533-position model. The record is from RNAcentral.